RNAcentral lists this ribosomal RNA (1495 nucleotides) under Lactiplantibacillus pentosus. RNAcentral's name for it is "bacterial SSU rRNA". It matches the Rfam family "Bacterial small subunit ribosomal RNA". The record is from RNAcentral. Lineage: Bacteria; Bacillati; Bacillota; Bacilli; Lactobacillales; Lactobacillaceae.
CAGGACGAACGCUGGCGGCGUGCCUAAUACAUGCAAGUCGAACGAACUCUGGUAUUGAUUGGUGCUUGCAUCAUGAUUUACAUUUGAGUGAGUGGCGAACUGGUGAGUAACACGUGGGAAACCUGCCCAGAAGCGGGGGAUAACACCUGGAAACAGAUGCUAAUACCGCAUAACAACUUGGACCGCAUGGUCCGAGUUUGAAAGAUGGCUUCGGCUAUCACUUUUGGAUGGUCCCGCGGCGUAUUAGCUAGAUGGUGAGGUAACGGCUCACCAUGGCAAUGAUACGUAGCCGACCUGAGAGGGUAAUCGGCCACAUUGGGACUGAGACACGGCCCAAACUCCUACGGGAGGCAGCAGUAGGGAAUCUUCCACAAUGGACGAAAGUCUGAUGGAGCAACGCCGCGUGAGUGAAGAAGGGUUUCGGCUCGUAAAACUCUGUUGUUAAAGAAGAACAUAUCUGAGAGUAACUGUUCAGGUAUUGACGGUAUUUAACCAGAAAGCCACGGCUAACUACGUGCCAGCAGCCGCGGUAAUACGUAGGUGGCAAGCGUUGUCCGGAUUUAUUGGGCGUAAAGCGAGCGCAGGCGGUUUUUUAAGUCUGAUGUGAAAGCCUUCGGCUCAACCGAAGAAGUGCAUCGGAAACUGGGAAACUUGAGUGCAGAAGAGGACAGUGGAACUCCAUGUGUAGCGGUGAAAUGCGUAGAUAUAUGGAAGAACACCAGUGGCGAAGGCGGCUGUCUGGUCUGUAACUGACGCUGAGGCUCGAAAGUAUGGGUAGCAAACAGGAUUAGAUACCCUGGUAGUCCAUACCGUAAACGAUGAAUGCUAAGUGUUGGAGGGUUUCCGCCCUUCAGUGCUGCAGCUAACGCAUUAAGCAUUCCGCCUGGGGAGUACGGCCGCAAGGCUGAAACUCAAAGGAAUUGACGGGGGCCCGCACAAGCGGUGGAGCAUGUGGUUUAAUUCGAAGCUACGCGAAGAACCUUACCAGGUCUUGACAUACUAUGCAAAUCUAAGAGAUUAGACGUUCCCUUCGGGGACAUGGAUACAGGUGGUGCAUGGUUGUCGUCAGCUCGUGUCGUGAGAUGUUGGGUUAAGUCCCGCAACGAGCGCAACCCUUAUUAUCAGUUGCCAGCAUUAAGUUGGGCACUCUGGUGAGACUGCCGGUGACAAACCGGAGGAAGGUGGGGGAUGACGUCAAAUCAUCAUGCCCCUUAUGACCUGGGCUACACACGUGCUACAAUGGAUGGUACAACGAGUUGCGAACUCGCGAGAGUAAGCUAAUCUCUUAAAGCCAUUCUCAGUUCGGAUUGUAGGCUGCAACUCGCCUACAUGAAGUCGGAAUCGCUAGUAAUCGCGGAUCAGCAUGCCGCGGUGAAUACGUUCCCGGGCCUUGUACACACCGCCCGUCACACCAUGAAGAGUUUGUAACACCCAAAGUCGGUGGGGUAACCUUUUAGGAACCAGCCGCCUAAGGUGGGACAGAUGAUUAGGGUGA